UGGGGGAAUAUUGCACAAUGGGGGGAAACCCUGAUGCAGCGACGCCGCGUGAACGAAGAAGUAUUUCGGUAUGUAAAGUUCUAUCAGCAGGGAAGAUAAUGACGGUACCUGACUAAAAAGCACCGGCUAAAUACGUGCCAGCAGCCGCGGUAAUACGUAUGGUGCAAGCGUUGUCCGGAUUUACUGGGUGUAAAGGGCGUGCAGCCGGAGAGACAAGUCAGAUGUGAAAUCCGCGGGCUUAACCCGCGAACUGCAUUUGAAACUGUUUCCCUUGAGUAUCGGAGAGGUAAUCGGAAUUCCUAGUGUAGCGGUGAAAUGCGUAGAUAUUAGGAAGAACACCAGUGGCGAAGGCGGAUUACUGGACAACAACUGACGGUGAGGCGCGAAAGCGUGGGGAGCAAACAGGAUUAGAUACCCUGGUAGU
This 424-nucleotide ribosomal RNA is filed under the name uncultured Lachnospiraceae bacterium. RNAcentral's name for it is "bacterial SSU rRNA". It matches the Rfam family "Bacterial small subunit ribosomal RNA", at positions 354 to 794 of the family's 1533-position model. Lineage: Bacteria; Bacillati; Bacillota; Clostridia; Lachnospirales; Lachnospiraceae. The record is from RNAcentral.